Molecule: microRNA precursor, 234 nt
Organism: Medicago truncatula (barrel medic)
Lineage: Eukaryota; Viridiplantae; Streptophyta; Magnoliopsida; Fabales; Fabaceae
Rfam family: MIR2655 microRNA precursor family
Source: Rfam
CCCAUAAAUAUUAAAAGGUCUGUUUAGGUCCCUUAACUUCAUUUAAAGUAUCGGUUUGGUCCCUUUUGUUAAUUUAAUUCAAAAAACGGUAAGUUUACGGACCAAACUAAUACUAAUUAAAUAAGUUAAAGGAUCAAAAUUUAACGUUUUUUUGAAUUAAAUUAACAGAAACGACCAAACUGAUACUUUAAAUAAAGUUAAGGGACCUAAACAGACUUUUUAUUACUUAUGGGA